RNAcentral lists this ribosomal RNA (482 nucleotides) under uncultured bacterium. Its description in RNAcentral is "partial 16S ribosomal RNA". It matches the Rfam family "Bacterial small subunit ribosomal RNA", at positions 30 to 507 of the family's 1533-position model. The record is from RNAcentral.
AUUGAACGCUGGCGGCAUGAUUUACACAUGCAAGUCGAACGGUAACAGGCCGCAAGGUGCUGACGAGUGGCGAACGGGUGAGUAAUGCAUCGGAACGUGCCCAGUCGUGGGGGAUAACUACUCGAAAGAGUAGCUAAUACCGCAUACGAUCUAUGGAUGAAAGCGGGGGACCGUAAGGCCUCGCGCGAUUGGAGCGGCCGAUGUCAGAUUAGGUAGUUGGUGGGGUAAAGGCUCACCAAGCCAACGAUCUGUAGCCGGUCUGAGAGGACGACCAGCCACACUGGGACUGAGACACGGCCCAGACUCCUACGGGAGGCAGCAGUGGGGAAUUUUGGACAAUGGGCGCAAGCCUGAUCCAGCAAUGCCGCGUGCAGGAAGAAGGCCUUCGGGUUGUAAACUGCUUUUGUACGGAACGAAACGGCUCUGGUUAAUACCCGGGGCUAAUGACGGUACCGUAAGAAUAAGCACCGGCUAACUACGUG